RNAcentral lists this ribosomal RNA (176 nucleotides) under uncultured bacterium. Its description in RNAcentral is "partial 16S ribosomal RNA". It matches the Rfam family "Bacterial small subunit ribosomal RNA", at positions 1326 to 1500 of the family's 1533-position model. The record is from RNAcentral.
UCGGAAUUGCUAGUAAUGGCAGGUCAGCAUACUGCCGUGAAUACGUUCCCGGGCCUUGUACACACCGCCCGUCACACCAUGAGAGUUAGGAAUACCCGAAGCCUGUGAGCUAACUUUAAUAGAGGCAGCAGUCGAAGGUAGAACUAAUGAUUGGGGUGAAGUCGUAACAAGGUAUC